This 803-nucleotide long non-coding RNA is filed under the name Calidris pygmaea (Spoon-billed sandpiper). RNAcentral describes it as "lncRNA (ENSCPGG00000004184.1)". The record is from RNAcentral. Lineage: Eukaryota; Metazoa; Chordata; Aves; Charadriiformes; Scolopacidae.
GAAAUUAUAUCGUGCUCUGUAGAAAUUUACAUUCCUGUCAAAAUACUGUUGCUUUAGUAAAUAUUUUACUUUUUCUCAUUAUUUGUUAUUGACUGUGACAGCCAGAGGCAGGGUUACCUAACUCUGUGAAAAGAGCCUGUAAUGCUGAAGAUUCCUUACCUGCAUCACCACUAAAAACAGCCAGAAGCAGAGGUUGGUAGCAUUAUUGAAUUAAAGGUUUUUUGGGUAACUGUUUGUUGGGAUUUUGUAAGGUUUUGAGGAGAAUAAUUAAACCUAUGUAUAUGGCAGGAUCGUCAUAUGAAUUACCCCUGAAGUCUGCAGUACCUGAUUACGUAGCUGAUUCUAAUAAACCACAGUCUCCUGUAUCUAAAAGAGGAACAAAUAAUACAUUAGCAGAUGUUGAAGCACUAUGCAAAAGUCCUGCCAUGUCUUUGGAUGCUGAGGAUGAUCAUGAGUCUCUUGGAUCACCUCUUCUUUUGGAGGAAGCAAAAAGUCCUCCAGUACAUAAAUUACACUUGGAUGACCAAAAUAAUCCUGCUGCAGUGAAGAGCCCUGUGGAAGUUGAAAAUUUGGGAGGACCUCAGACUGGGAGAGAUGAGCAGGUUGUUCUCAAGCAAGGAAUAGAACGUGUUGCUGCGUCAUCUGUACAGAAAGAGAAGGUUUUCUCUUCGAUUGUCUUAGCAGCUGUAGCAACAGGAACGCAUGGAAAAAGGUUUGUUUUGAAGCAUAAUAUAGAACAUAAUUUGCUAGUGAAAUAACCCAGUCCUGAGUACUGGAGCAGCAUCCUUUUAUCCGUGCACAUG